CCUAAUACAUGCAAGUCGAACGAACUCUGGUAUUGAUUGGUGCUUGCAUCAUGAUUUACAUUUGAGUGAGUGGCGAACUGGUGAGUAACACGUGGGAAACCUGCCCAGAAGCGGGGGAUAACACCUGGAAACAGAUGCUAAUACCGCAUAACAACUUGGACCGCAUGGUCCGAGUUUGAAAGAUGGCUUCGGCUAUCACUUUUGGAUGGUCCCGCGGCGUAUUAGCUAGAUGGUGGGGUAACGGCUCACCAUGGCAAUGAUACGUAGCCGACCUGAGAGGGUAAUCGGCCACAUUGGGACUGAGACACGGCCCAAACUCCUACGGGAGGCAGCAGUAGGGAAUCUUCCACAAUGGACGAAAGUCUGAUGGAGCAACGCCGCGUGAGUGAAGAAGGGUUUCGGCUCGUAAAACUCUGUUGUUAAAGAAGAACAUAUCUGAGAGUAACUGUUCAGGUAUUGACGGUAUUUAACCAGAAAGCCACGGCUAACUACGUGCCAGCAGCCGCGGUAAUACGUAGGUGGCAAGCGUUGUCCGGAUUUAUUGGGCGUAAAGCGAGCGCAGGCGGUUUUUUAAGUCUGAUGUGAAAGCCUUCGGCUCAACCGAAGAAGUGCAUCGGAAACUGGGAAACUUGAGUGCAGAAGAGGACAGUGGAACUCCAUGUGUAGCGGUGAAAUGCGUAGAUAUAUGGAAGAACACCAGUGGCGAAGGCGGCUGUCUGGUCUGUAACUGACGCUGAGGCUCGAAAGUAUGGGUAGCAAACAGGAUUAGAUACCCUGGUAGUCCAUACCGUAAACGAUGAAUGCUAAGUGUUGGAGGGUUUCCGCCCUUCAGUGCUGCAGCUAACGCAUUAAGCAUUCCGCCUGGGGAGUACGGCCGCAAGGCUGAAACUCAAAGGAAUUGACGGGGGCCCGCACAAGCGGUGGAGCAUGUGGUUUAAUUCGAAGCUACGCGAAGAACCUUACCAGGUCUUGACAUACUAUGCAAAUCUAAGAGAUUAGACGUUCCCUUCGGGGACAUGGAUACAGGUGGUGCAUGGUUGUCGUCAGCUCGUGUCGUGAGAUGUUGGGUUAAGUCCCGCAACGAGCGCAACCCUUAUUAUCAGUUGCCAGCAUUAAGUUGGGCACUCUGGUGAGACUGCCGGUGACAAACCGGAGGAAGGUGGGGAUGACGUCAAAUCAUCAUGCCCCUUAUGACCUGGGCUACACACGUGCUACAAUGGAUGGUACAACGAGUUGCGAACUCGCGAGAGUAAGCUAAUCUCUUAAAGCCAUUCUCAGUUCGGAUUGUAGGCUGCAACUCGCCUACAUGAAGUCGGAAUCGCUAGUAAUCGCGGAUCAGCAUGCCGCGGUGAAUACGUUCCCGGGCCUUGUACACACCGCCCGUCACACCAUGAGAGUUUGUAACACCCAAAGUCGGUGGGGUAACCUUUUAGGAACCAGCCGCCUAAGG
Molecule: ribosomal RNA, 1450 nt
Filed under: Lactiplantibacillus plantarum
Lineage: Bacteria; Bacillati; Bacillota; Bacilli; Lactobacillales; Lactobacillaceae
Description: bacterial SSU rRNA
Rfam family: Bacterial small subunit ribosomal RNA
Source: RNAcentral